AGAGAACCAGGAAGAAAAGGGGACCAAGUGAAAGAGGGACCUGAACUGCAGAACGAACCAGCCAUACCUGAAAAGAUGCUCCCCCACCCUGUUGACAGUGUCUCACUCGGAAGCCACUGUGGGCUGCAACUCGCCAGGUAGCUUGUGCAAGCAUCAAACACACAGCGAUUCUCCUACGUUACGGUGCUCAGCUACAUGCUUCUUCUGCGGGUGUAGCCGGUGUGGCAGUUAACUGGCUCACUUCAGCUUGCAAACUGCCAGUAUAGAAUCUGGACCCUCCAGCAUUCUGUACUACCCUUGGGUGCAGGACCAGGCAAAACUGAAGAGUUAGAGAAAGAAGAUAUUAGUGAAGGCCAGAGCCGGCAAUUAGAUUAUUCGUUAUGUAGCAAGGGAGUCCGGAAAUGGCCAUGAAAUCUGCAGACCAAAGAGGAAAUCUAAACACGGUUUCUCAUGUUCUGUCUCCUGUUAGCGUGCAUGCAGAUGGACACCAGUUUUGUUGGUGGACAGAAGCAGGCACUACCUUCAGCAGUGAGGUCAUUAAAUCUUCAGAGCAAUUUCUGACUUCCAGGAGACCUGUUCAGGCAAGCAGACUACUCCCUGCAGGCCAGACUUCCGUGGUUUGCUGAGUUGUGUUUGCUGGCCACAGUGCUCAGUCAGGACGAUGGUCAUCAGGAAAACAUGGCUGUAGGACCAGGCAAUCUGGCGGGGCUGACGUGGACUAUGAGGAGGGCAGGAGGGCUGCCUCACACUGACUUACAGGAGACAACUGCGACACAGUCCACAGAGCUGCAGUCAUCUCCUCUUGUCCCUCAGAGCUUGUGAGCUGGUCCACGCUGUUCCAGAAGUCCUUAUCGUAGCUGUGAUGCUCUGGAGCCUCACAAGUCAGUGAUGAUCAAACCCAAAAGAUGAAGGCAUGGAGAGGUUAAGCCCCAAACAGCACCCUCGAAGGUUCUCCUGGGAGCCCAGCAGAGAAUCCCCACCAAUAGGCUGUUCUCUUGUAAGCGCUGGCGUUGCUCUCGGUUUCCAUGGUGUUGGGGCGCCGUGCUGACGAGUCAAGCAUCUCGCCCGGGAAGACACCAUGCUGUCUGUACCAGGGACUUCAGCUUCUCCCAAAAACUCUGCAUUGCUGGUAAGCCUCGUCUGGGCUUACAAUCAAAAAGCAACGAAGCUCUUCUGCACCAGAAGCUUUCCACGUCAUCAGGUUCAAGUUCUGUGCCUCGCUUUUUUAAACAAGACUUUGUGUCUCACAGAAACCCUCUGAGCAGAGUCAGACGUGUGUUGAUGUUGGCCGAUGGAAGGAUUCAUCCUUCUUCAGUUGGUUUGUGAAUGUUGGCAUUACAACCUGUCCUCAGGCAUCCUGAGGCAGGUGAGGCAGGUCAGCAUUGAGUGCACUGGGCCUUUAUAGCCAUACUGGUUCCUGGCUAGAAAAUAUAAUCUUAACCUGUUAGAAAACACACCAUCUAACAAAGUCAUUCUCAACUUGCGUUGAACUCCUAAUAUACUGUUCUACCCUGAAAUAAGCUUCAUUAAUGGAGGAUAUAUUAGUAUCUUCCCUGAGCUCUGUGAGUAAGCACAGUGUGCCAUCCAUACACACCAGUGAACAUACAUGACACAGAUGUAACAUAUAUGACACAGGUUGAACAUAUACACAGAUAUAUACACCACACUCAUAUAUAGAAAACUACACACAGAGACACACACAUGCAGACACACACACAAAUUCCCACUGAUGUAGGUGUGUGGGAUUCAACUUAUGUCUCAUCUGUGACAGUCACCACACGGCUCUGGAUGGUGGCGUGGCUGCAGUCCCGCAGUUGGAGAAAAGGAAAUGUGGGUGAAGCAUGGGAAACUCCUUUUUAAAACCACUUACACUUUUUCUAUCGCACCAAAAGAGGGUCUCAUGUGACCCAGGCUAGACCACAUAACCUAGGUAUCCCAGGAUGAUUCAGAACUUAGCCUCCUGCUGCCUCCCCAGUGCUGGGUUUUAGGCAAACACCACCAUGACAGAUUUCGCUGGUGCUGGGAAUUGGAACCAGGGCUUUGUGCUUGAAGCAGGAGCACCCUCCCUGAGCCACGUCCCCAGCCAUGAGCCUCUGGUGUAAGAAGCUCACUGAAGGCCAAUAGUUCUCAGCCUAGAGGUGAGAUCGUGAUGUCAGUGGCAGUUAUGGUAAUGGGUCUGGGACCCAGCACGCCUACCUAGUACUCCUCACGGUCAGAGGCAGUGUCUUCCCAUGUAUCUUUGCACAGAUUUUCCAGAGUCACUUGUGAACUAGUUUUUAUGAAAAGGGACCAGUAAGUUCACUGCAGUGUUGGAGUCAUGAUGCCAAUCAGAUAGUAAAGGUGAGGUGUUCCCUAAGAAUCUGUCAGUCUGACGCAGUUUGCCUAUGUAGCCUCAUCUUGCUUCAAACUGGUGUUCCUCCCGCUGCAGCCUCCCAAGUGCUGGCAUUACAGAUGUGUUUCCCCAUGGCCAGGUUUGGAAAGGUUCAUGACAUCGGGUUCCAGGCCCGGCACUGCUGUUCCAGGAUUUUUUUUUUUUGAUUGUACAAUCUCUAUGUCAGCAUCCUGGUACCUAAACAUUAUUAUAUCCCAAGAUAGAUCUAGGUGUUUUGGAACAGAACUGUUAUAAAGUUCUUCCUCACACUUAGCUGAACCCUCAUCUGUGUUUGGUUCGUGAGACUGCACGGUGGGGCUGGAGAGACGGUGCUGUGUUUAUCGGCACCCACUGUUCGGGCAGGGGAGCAGAACUGCUUGACUCCAGAUCCAGGGCACUGGGUCACCUCUUCUCACCACAACAGGCACUAAACUCACGCCCACAAAUCUACAGAGACACGGAAUUAAAGUCAAACCAUUAUCUGUUUUAAGAGCCUCCACAAUGAAGUUACAGAAAUAAACAAAAGUAAUGAGUUAUAUAUAUGUUUUACAAAAGAAAGCUGAAAUUUCAUUUGGUUUUUAUUGUUAGGAUCAGGAGUAUGAUGCAAACCAUAAACACACACGUGUAGGGACACACACACUUCUGCCUCUUGGGAUUGGCACUCUGAUCCCAGGAUCUUAGCCUUCUCUGGGUCUCUGUGGCUACAUCCCUGGCUCUUACACAUUUCUGGGACAGGGUUCUGGUCCUUUCACUAUGUUGCUGCAUUUCUUUUGGCUCCCAACUUUAUGGAAAAGUCCAAGCUGAUGUGGAGUAAAGUGCCAGGAUGUCACUGACCCGAGGCUGACCUGAUGCACCGAGAUGUGGUCAUACACAACUGGGAGAAGAAACCACUUCCAAGGGAGGGGAACACACCACUGGGACGGAUUCAGGCAUCAUCCUUUGCUACCCAAAAUGGCAUUGUAAAUCAACUGCACAGGAGGCUGUCUGGGUGAGAUGGCUUUGAGAAGACAAAAGAAGCCAGGGAUUCCCAGUGAGCCCAGCCAGCCAUGCCUGAUCCACCAAGGAAGCUGAUUCUGGUUCCAUCCUCACCAAGAGUCCCCAUGGCUACCUCAAAUAUGAGUUCAGCAUCUCUCUGGAUCCUCAGCUGCCUGCUUCAGUCCUGCCCGUGGGACCUGUGUGAUUUCUCCUUAUGUGAGAGGAGCCACUCUGCCCUUCUGAGGGGGCACAGCAUGCAAGCCAGUAAUGAUUUAUACAAUUGAAAAGAAAAGGAUGAAGGCACAAGAUGAUGUCCCAUAGGUCAGCACUUCCCGAGAGUUGAGUUCAAGUGGCUGUGAGCUCCUAAAUCUAGAAAUAAGGCACCCAGCUGUGCUCCUAUACCUGUUACAUCCCAAGGAAAGCAGUUGUUCUGUGGAUUUCAGGUCUUGAAAGAACAGCAUUGAGAAGCACACUCUAAGGAAGGAACUGUGUUUCCUUGACGAUCAUCAGAACACGUAUGGCAUGUACAAAUGCUUGAAAAUAUGCAUGGAGGAGCUCUUGGGUGUGCACAAAGGCAAGUCUGCUCCAUAAAGAAAAAAAUGCAACCAUUAGAAAGAACUCCCUUGGCUUAUUUAAAUGUUUCCAAUAUAUAGCUUUCAGGUGCGAGCUCUAGAGCAUGUCCACAUUUGCCUUGUGACAGCUGACCUCCACCAUCCAGGCUCACAAGGAACUGGAACUUUGAAAAAAAUACUUUUAUUAACAGAUAAAGUUUACAAUUGUUUUAAAAACCUUCCUUGUUGGAACACAAACACUCACAUGCUUUCAGAGAGCAAACUCGUGGAAUGGCUUAACUCAGCUGAGAGAAGGACUUGCCCAGUGUGCUUCUAAGGGACAGAGAAGAGGAGCCCCACCAUCGGGGAUGUCAGAUUUGCUAACGUGGAUCCAGCCUAAAGUGCAGCCCCAGGUCCUCCUGAAUGACGAUCAGCUCUUCUCAUUCUCCGAGUGACAGUGAUCGGGCCCUCU
Long non-coding RNA from Psammomys obesus (fat sand rat), 4369 nucleotides. RefSeq lists it as uncharacterized. The record is from RefSeq and is a predicted model, not a curated record. The transcript has 7 exons. Lineage: Eukaryota; Metazoa; Chordata; Mammalia; Rodentia; Muridae.